This 253-nucleotide ribosomal RNA is filed under the name uncultured bacterium. RNAcentral's name for it is "partial 16S ribosomal RNA". It matches the Rfam family "Bacterial small subunit ribosomal RNA", at positions 524 to 776 of the family's 1533-position model. The record is from RNAcentral.
UACGAGUGCCUCAAGCGUUAUCCGGAAUCAUUGGGCGUAAAGGUUGUGUAGGUGGUCAUAUUCGUCUUCUGUUAAAUUCUUCGGCUUAACCGGGGGCAUGCAGAGGAAACGGUAUGACUCGAGGAUGCGAGGGGUCUGUGGAACUCAUAGUGUAGCGGUGAAAUGCGUUGAUAUUAUGGGGAACACCAAAAGCGAAGGCAGCAGACUGGAGCACUCCUGACACUGAAACAAGAAAGCGUGGGUCGCGAAUGGG